UAGAAUUCAAGCUCUCAACUUGUAUUCAUAAACUCACUGCCAAGUUAAGAAUCUCUUUUCCUCUCAAGUUGCCAACAAAGUGUCAUAAGAUUCUCUGGAAUUAGUACAAGUUGAGAUGUCUAACAACCAGAACCAGGGACAGUUUCUAGCGGUCUUAAUAGAUAAAAUAGUCAUACAUGUGAACGGUAACAAUUCUUCUUGUAUCCACAGCGACUAGGAAGCUCAAUGGCAUCAUUGCAAAGCUAAUUCAGUGGCUUUCAUCUGCGAUGCUCAUGCAAGAAAUGAUCUGGCGAGUGGAUCAAGAGGACAAGGUACAUCGUCAAUCCGGGUAAAAGCUACUUCCCCUAAGGCACAGAAAUCAGAGUGGUGGCAAAAGUGUAUUGACUUGGGUUCUGGUACGAUGAUCAAUAUGUGAGGAUCCAGUAAUAGUUGAAAGAGGAUGUGUGGAUGUAAAUAUUAAUUGAGUGGAAAUUGUGUUAAAAGAGCUUAUAUCCAUGUACAAAGUAACAAAGAUGACUACUUUUGAUCAACAGAAAUAGUACUUGAUGCAUAUUUAACACAGGAUGUGUGCAGAGGUGUUUCUUUACAUCACGGUGCUCAUUUUUGUGCACCUUACUUGUGGGACUGGACUCGAUUACGAGUGUCGAAUCCAACCUGACCGACCCAUGUGUAAUUUGACUGGUGAUAUCUGCACCUGAAGGAUCUGGGAUGAACUGUAGGAGAGCACAGGCACCAGUUGGCUGUGCCUCCGCCACCUCCGCCAUUCCCUCUUGCUUCCUCAUUCGAUGCCUCGUUGCCAUCGGCUUCGCGUGCCACCGUCUCUGGCGGGGCAACCUGUCUUUGGCGACUCCUGGUCCUUCGGGACACUCCAACCACCGGAAAACUAGGUUGACACAUCGGUCUUUUCUAUUCCCUUUCUCUUGCCCCUUAAUUUCUUGGAAUGUAAUUUACUGCGAUUGUGCGAGGAAGGACUUGGUAUUUGUUACAAGAGCAAGAAACGUGAGGAUUCUAAGGAAACAGAGGAGAUAUGAAGUCAGGACCAAAAAAAACAAAGUUUGGAUAUGUCUGAAAGGAGAGCAAGAAACGUGAGGAUUCUAAGGAAACAGAGGAGAUAUGAAGUCAGGACCAAAAAAACAAAGUAUGGAUAUGUCUGAAAGGCAAUUAGAGGCUGCCAAUUGGAUAUGUCUGGGAGGCAAUUAGAGGCUGCCAAUGUCAUUCUUGUUAGGCUUUUUUGUUGGGUUGUGGAAGGGUGGCUUUGUGUGCUUGGAGGGGGGGAUCGUGUCGCUGUGUGGAUGGCG
This 1298-nucleotide long non-coding RNA is filed under the name Eucalyptus grandis. RNAcentral's name for it is "long non-coding RNA (EGRA_LNC006171)". Lineage: Eukaryota; Viridiplantae; Streptophyta; Magnoliopsida; Myrtales; Myrtaceae. The record is from RNAcentral.